AACAAGGCGUACCUGCGGACCUGCGGAAGGAUCAUUACCGAGUCUUCGUACUCAAAACAACCCUUCUGUGGACCUGAAUAAAACCGUUGCCUCGGCAGGCGGCCCUACCUACGGGCCAGAUAGUUCGGCUGCCUCCAGGGAGGAAACCCUCCCUGAGGUGCUGGCGCCAGCCGCUGGCCCCAAACCAAAACUCUAGUAACUUUUACCUUCUGAGUUUUAAUGCAAGAAAUAAGUCAAAAC
This 240-nucleotide unclassified non-coding RNA is filed under the name soil metagenome. RNAcentral's name for it is "partial contains 5.8S ribosomal RNA, internal transcribed spacer 2, and large subunit ribosomal RNA". The record is from RNAcentral.